This 391-nucleotide unclassified non-coding RNA is filed under the name soil metagenome. RNAcentral's name for it is "partial contains 5.8S ribosomal RNA, internal transcribed spacer 2, and large subunit ribosomal RNA". The stretch from base 1 to 122 matches the Rfam family "5.8S ribosomal RNA", at positions 35 to 154 of the family's 154-position model. The record is from RNAcentral.
GAUGAAGAACGUAGCGAAAUGCGAUACUUGGUGUGAAUUGCAGAAUCCCGUGAACCAUCGAGUCUUUGAACGCAAGUUGCGCCCGAAGCCACUAGGCCGAGGGCACGCCUGCCUGGGCGUCACACGCCGUUGCCCCCCCAUCUACUCCUUCGGGAUUGCGGGGGGGCGGAUGAUGGCCUCCCGUGCGCCUAGCCGCGCGGUUGGCAUAAAUACCAAGUCCUCGGCGACGCACGCCACGACAAUCGGUGGUUGCGAAACCUCGGAUGCCCGUCGUGUGCGUUCGUCGCGCAUCGAGGGCUCGAAAAAAUGCUCGGCUCCGGCUGGGCUUUCAACGCGACCCCAGGUCAGGCGGGGUUACCCGCUGAAUUUAAGCAUAUCAAUAAGCGGAGGA